Molecule: non-coding RNA, 272 nt
Organism: Chelonoidis abingdonii (Abingdon island giant tortoise)
Lineage: Eukaryota; Metazoa; Chordata; Testudines; Testudinidae
Source: RefSeq, a predicted model, not a curated record
AACCCAUAUAUGGGUUUGUUUAACUCUGAUUGGUUAGAGGUUCAUGUUAUAUAAGUUGUUAUAUAAGCACCAUGUGCUAUAAAGUAGCAAGGGGAGGGGCUCCUGGCUGGAGGGACUCUGCCUGAUUCUUUGUAUCGGGGGCUGUCUUUGUGCACAUGUUGAAUAAAGCUUUAUUGAAUUGAAUUGAAUCGCAUUGGAUUGAAGUCCCAUGAUUUCUACCCACCAUCAGACUCAUUGGGAACCACCAAAUCCCAACACAGUCAAGACAGAAA